RNAcentral lists this transfer RNA (60 nucleotides) under opilioacarid SJD-2001. RNAcentral's name for it is "tRNA-Phe". Lineage: Eukaryota; Metazoa; Arthropoda; Arachnida; Opilioacarida; Opilioacaridae. The record is from RNAcentral.
GUUUUUAUAGUUUAUUUAAAAUACAGUGUUGAAAAUACUGAGAAGAUAAUUCUAAGAAUA